AUCGCUUCUCGGCCUUUUGGCUAAGAUCAAGUGUAGUAUCUGUGCUUAUCAGCUUAAUAUCUGAUACGUCCUCGAUGAGAGGACUUUGUAUUCAACGUGUUUUUGGGUGCGGGGGUUGGACCCGCAGCUUGCUCCCUCCGCUCGGCGCAUCGUCCCGGUCUGGCGGUACCGGCGGGCACGGUGCAGCUCCC
This is a small nuclear RNA of Coturnix japonica (Japanese quail), 191 nucleotides long. Its record names the gene U2. It matches the Rfam family "U2 spliceosomal RNA". Rfam says of the family: U2 is a small nuclear RNA (snRNA) component of the spliceosome (involved in pre-mRNA splicing). Complementary binding between U2 snRNA (in an area lying towards the 5' end but 3' to hairpin I) and the branchpoint sequence (BPS) of the intron results the bulging out of an unpaired adenosine, on the BPS, which initiates a nucleophilic attack at the intronic 5' splice site, thus starting the first of two transesterification reactions that mediate splicing. The record is from Ensembl. NCBI's taxonomy places the organism in Eukaryota, Metazoa, Chordata, Aves, Galliformes, Phasianidae.